RNAcentral lists this unclassified non-coding RNA (255 nucleotides) under plant metagenome. Its description in RNAcentral is "partial contains small subunit ribosomal RNA, internal transcribed spacer 1, and 5.8S ribosomal RNA". The stretch from base 1 to 54 matches the Rfam family "Eukaryotic small subunit ribosomal RNA", at positions 1778 to 1831 of the family's 1831-position model. The record is from RNAcentral.
GGAAGUAUAAGUCGUAACAAGGUUUCCGUAGGUGAACCUGCGGAAGGAUCAUUAUUGGAUUUUGAAACUUCAGGCUGCUGCUGGCUCUCCUCGGAGGGCAUGUGCACGCUUGUUGUCCAUUAUUUCUCCCACUGUGCACAAAUUGUAGACCUUUCAGUAGGCCUAUGUUGUUUUUCACAAUCUCUGAAUGUAAUAGAAUGGUUUUGAAUCUUGGGAAAUACAAUACAACUUUCAGCAACGGAUCUCUUGGCUCUC